Molecule: long non-coding RNA, 244 nt
Organism: Cavia porcellus (domestic guinea pig)
Lineage: Eukaryota; Metazoa; Chordata; Mammalia; Rodentia; Caviidae
Exons: 2
Source: RefSeq, a predicted model, not a curated record
GAGAAUAUUUCUAAUUAAACGAAUAGACGCUAACUGCCACUUGGUCACCUACAGAAUGAACCCACUAUUUCCUUGAAAUGAGACACUUAUCCCAUCGUUCUUGCUGCACUGUGAAUUUGGUCUGGAAGACUCUUUUCCUGUCUGAUCCCAUCCCUGGAAUUGACUCAAAAUGUUUACUUCUCACAGUCAUUUAGACUUUAGGGAACAGCUGGAUGCUGCAUGGUGCCAGAGCUGAUGGACAAGG